This 420-nucleotide ribosomal RNA is filed under the name bacterium. RNAcentral describes it as "partial 16S ribosomal RNA". It matches the Rfam family "Bacterial small subunit ribosomal RNA", at positions 355 to 776 of the family's 1533-position model. The record is from RNAcentral.
UGGGGGAUAUUGCACAAUGGGCGAAAGCCUGAUGCAGCGACGCCGCGUGGGGGAUGAAGGCUUUCGGGUUGUAAACCUCUUUCGCUAUCGAACAAGGCCCGCUUAGGGUGGGUUGAGGGUAGGUGGAGAAGAAGCGCCGGCUAACUACGUGCCAGCAGCCGCGGUAAUACGUAGGGCGCGAGCGUUGUCCGGAAUUAUUGGACGUAAAGGGCUUGUAGGCGGCUUGUUGCGCCUGCUGUGAAAACGCGGGGCUUAACUUCGCGCGUGCACUGGGUGCGGGCAGGCUUGGGUGUGGUAGGGGGGACUGGAAUUCCAGGUGUAGCGGUGGAAUGCGCAGAUAUCUGGAGGAAAACCGAUGGCGAAGGCAGGUCACUGGGCCAUUACUGACGCUGAGGAGCGAAAGCAUGGGUAGCGAACAGG